GACGAACGCUGGCGGCGUGCUUAACACAUGCAAGUCGAACGGUAAGGCCCUUCGGGUACACGAGUGGCGAACGGGUGAGUAACACGUGGUGAUCUGCCCUGCACUUCGGGAUAAGCUUGGGAAACUGGGUCUAAUACCGGAUAGGACCACGGUCUGCAUGGAUUGUGGUGGAAAGCUUUUGCGGUGUGGGAUGGGCCCGCGGCCUAUCAGCUUGUUGGUGGGGUGAUGGCCUACCAAGGCGACGACGGGUAGCCGGCCUGAGAGGGUGUCCGGCCACACUGGGACUGAGAUACGGCCCAGACUCCUACGGGAGGCAGCAGUGGGGAAUAUUGCACAAUGGGCGCAAGCCUGAUGCAGCGACGCCGCGUGGGGGAUGACGGCCUUCGGGUUGUAAACCUCUUCUAGCAUCGACGAAGCGCAAGUGACGGUAGAUGCAGAAGAAAGCACCGGCCAACUACGUGCCAGCAGCCGCGGUAA
RNAcentral lists this ribosomal RNA (477 nucleotides) under uncultured bacterium. Its description in RNAcentral is "bacterial SSU rRNA". It matches the Rfam family "Bacterial small subunit ribosomal RNA", at positions 28 to 523 of the family's 1533-position model. The record is from RNAcentral.